Molecule: long non-coding RNA, 623 nt
Filed under: Gallus gallus (chicken)
Lineage: Eukaryota; Metazoa; Chordata; Aves; Galliformes; Phasianidae
Description: lncRNA (ENSGALG00010025187.1)
Source: RNAcentral
GAGCCUCUCUGCUUCCAGGGGCUGACAACGUGAUGAAGUGCUGCUAAUGAGCCUCUUUUGCUUGUUUAUUUUAACAGCCAGAAAAAAUUACAUUAGUGCUCUGCGGUGAGCGGGCGGUGUGGAUUUCCUCGGGGAAUCCCUCCGGAGUGUUCGGAACAAGCAGCGGAGCUCCUCGCCUAAUUGGGAGCGGACUAAUUUGCUGUCUUUUCCAGCUGAGCUUCUGGGUCCCUCAGAGUCCGGAGACCCGCUGACCGCUGUUCAGUUAAGAAAUCCCCAUGUCUGGGAUGUGGCACAGCUGCCCAGUGAGGUGGUGGGGUCACUGCCCCUGGAGAUAGUCCUGGAGAGCCAUGGAGGAGCAUGGUAAGUGGGCAUGUUGGGCUGCGAUUGGACUUGGGGAUCUUGGAGGACUUUUCCAACCUUAACGACUCUAUGAUUCUAUAAAUGAGGCUGCAUCUACCAUUGCUGGUUACUCCUGAGCUCUCUCAUCCCAGGGAGAAGGAGGGCGAAAUUCAGAGACUUGGAUGAGAAAUGUGAACACAUUACUGUUUGCUUUCGAGCUCUAGAUUCCUAAUUAAAAAAAAAAAAAAAAAAGAUACAUAUUUCAUGACUGCGUUUGCCUAAAA